UUUAAUUAUAAAGUAAAUUAAGAUUAUAUUACCUUUUGCAUCAUGAUUAAAUGAUUAAGAAUCUCCUAAGUGAGUACCUUCGAAAAUGUGUGAUCUUACGAGGGCUAAAAGGUGAUUGGGUAAUUCACAAACCUAAGCCCUUGUAAGAAGUGAUAAGUUACACGUACACGUUUAUAUCUAAUUAGGGGGUAGACGUUAAGGGAUAUUAUUUUAUUAUAAUGCCCCACAAUAUUUGCUUAACUACUUUCUAAAGUACAAAUGGAUUAAUAUUAUCCUAUAACUUGUUACAAAGUGAUAAUAAAUAUAAGGAGCAAUUUAACAGUCCCCCUCAUUGUUUAAUACCUAAACUAAGUUUAUGUUAUAAAUAAGUAGAAAAAUAAAAUAACUUUUUCUCGUAAGAAUCCGAACUGUUUAUUAAAAACAUUUCCUAAUAAAAACUUUAUUAGGUAUCCCCUGCUCAUCGUUGUUCAAACCAACAAGAAGCCGCAGUAUUUUGACUGUGCUAAGGUAGCAUAAUUAAUUGCCUCUUAAAUAGAGGAUUGUCUGAAUGGGGUAAUUGGGUUCAAAUUAAAAAUCAUUUUAUAAGAAAUUAAUUUGUAGUUGCAGAAUACUACGUUCUAAUAUAAGACGGAAAGACCCUAAGAGCUUAAUUUUUUUUAUUUUGGGCAAAGCUAUAUAUUUAUUUAGUUUAUAAACCUAUUGGGAUAAAAGCAAAGUUACCUUAGGGAUAACAGGGUUAGAUGUAUUUAGAGUUCUUAUCAAUAUACAUAAUUGCCACCUCGAUGUUGACUUAAAUUUACUCUAUUGUGUAGAAGCUUUAGUAGUAAGCCUGUUCGGCUUUUAAAAUUUUUCAUGAGUUGAGUUAAGACCGGUGUAAGCCAGGUCGGUUCUUAUCUAUAAGUGGUCUACUAUAGUACGAAAGGAUUUAGUAGUAAAUAAUUUAUUAAAAUUUUUACA
This 957-nucleotide ribosomal RNA is filed under the name Gyrodactylus brachymystacis. RNAcentral describes it as "16S ribosomal RNA". The stretch from base 623 to 898 matches the Rfam family "Bacterial large subunit ribosomal RNA", at positions 2075 to 2645 of the family's 2925-position model. Lineage: Eukaryota; Metazoa; Platyhelminthes; Monogenea; Gyrodactylidea; Gyrodactylidae. The record is from RNAcentral.